This 858-nucleotide ribosomal RNA is filed under the name uncultured bacterium. RNAcentral's name for it is "bacterial SSU rRNA". It matches the Rfam family "Bacterial small subunit ribosomal RNA", at positions 29 to 890 of the family's 1533-position model. The record is from RNAcentral.
GUAGACGCUGGCGGCGUGCUUGACACAUGCAAGUCGAACGGACGCGAUUGGAAAGCUCGCUUUCUGAUCGAUGUUAGUGGCGAAAGGGUGAGUAAUGCGUAAGCAACCUGCCUUAUACAGGGGAAUAACAACGGGAAACCGUUGCUAAUACCGCAUAAUAUCGUGAUAUGGCAUCAUAUUGUGAUCAAAGGAGCAGUCCGGUAUAAGAUGGGCUUGCGUCCGAUUAGCUAGUUGGUGAGGUAAUGGCUCACCAAGGCUGCGAUCGGUAGCCGAACUGAGAGGUUGAUCGGCCACAUUGGGACUGAGACACGGCCCAGACUCCUACGGGGGGCAGCAGUGGGGAAUAUUGCACAAUGGACGGAAGUCUGAUGCAGCAACGCCGCGUGAAGGAAGAAGGUUUUCGGAUUGUAAACUUCUUUGAUCAGGGAAGAAUCAUGACAGUACCUGAGGAACAAGCCACGGCUAACUACGUGCCAGCAGCCGCGGUAAUACGUAGGUGGCAAGCGUUAUCCGGAAUUACUGGGUGUAAAGGGCGCGUAGGCGGGAUUACAAGUCAGUUGUGAAAUACCCAGGCUCAACUUGGGGGCUGCAACUGAAACUGUAAUUCUUGAGUGUCGGAGAGGAAAGUAGAAUUCCCCGUGUAGCGGUGAAAUGCGUAGAGAUGGGGAGGAAUACCGGUGGCGAAGGCGACUUUCUGGACGAUAACUGACGCUGAGGCGCGAAAGCGUGGGUAGCAAACAGGAUUAGAUACCCUGGUAGUCCACGCUGUAAACGAUGAAUACUAGGUGUGGGAGGUAUCGACCCCUUCCGUGCCGCAGCAAACGCAAUAAGUACUNCCACCUGAGGAGUACGNCCGCA